AGAAAUUUAGGUUAAUUACCAAACCAAGAGCCUUCAAAGCCCUAAAUACGAGCCAUCACCUCAUAAUUUCUG
This 72-nucleotide transfer RNA is filed under the name Hemiphyllodactylus sp. MPH-2011. RNAcentral describes it as "tRNA-Trp". The record is from RNAcentral. Lineage: Eukaryota; Metazoa; Chordata; Lepidosauria; Squamata; Gekkonidae.